UUUUUUAUACAGAAAACGUGUUGUACUCUUAUUGACUAAAAUGAAGUGAUAUGUCCCUGAAUUAUGCCGGCAGUAACUCCAGCUCGAUUUUGAGAGGCAAAUUGGGCGUCAGAUUGUUUGGCAUGUCGACGAAUCAGAACCCCAGCUCCAACAGCAAUGCGGCGGCUACAGUCUUGCUUCCUGAGAUCGGGCCGGAUGGCUUGGCCCGAGAAUCUCCUAUCAUAGCUUACACCGAGAAGAUUAUUGAAGAAGAGCAGCUUCAGUUGAGGAAGUACAUUGAAGAAAACUAUUCUAAGAUUCGUGAUGUUGAACGAGAACUUGCAAACCUCUCAAUGGAAAUGAAGCUUACUGCCGGUCCAAAGAAAGCUGCACUUGAACACCUACGGAAGAAAAUAGAAAUGUCAACAGAGAGAAUUCGUUUGGCUAAGGUGAAAGAAGAACAAGCUAAAAAGGCCUGGGAAGCAGCAGCAAAAGAUGUGCAGGAUGAGGAAGCAAUCAAACAGAAGCUUUGCGACGAUCUAAAUAAUCUGGUCCAGGAAAGUAGCAACAGCCAGCUUGCUAGACUGGAGGAACUGAAGCGCCGUAUGGAGUCUCUGAACCCAAGUAGAUCUUCCAAUAUACACAUGCCCUCAUGUUGUGAAAAGCGCGUUCGGGGCGCGCUCGGGGCGCGGGGCGGUCAAAGCGAGAAUGUAAUCGCCCCGAUGCGGCGGGGUCGUGCGAGAUCCAUGGAGCGAGUGUGGGGCGCGCCUAGAGCGUCCGGGUCGCCGUGGAGCGUCUGGGUCGUCUGGGGCGAGCCGAUUUAGGAUUUAAAUAUUAGCGACUGUUCAUCUUCUUCCUUGAAUAAAUAAAAAAAAGACCCAGCUAGGAAAUAUGCAAGAGCUGAUCUGGAUACCAGAUAUAAACUUACAUACAACUUUUGCGACAAAGUGAUUGCAUCGGGAGUUCGAAGGCUCAAAGAACAUUUUGUUGGCGGAAUUAAAAACAUCACGAAAUGUACUAAAUGCCCACCACAUGUGAGAGUGGAGAUGAUCAACUAUAUGAAGAAAAAAGAGGAUGCUAAAAUACAGCAAGUUUUUACAGCGGCAGCAUCACAAAGCAGGAGAUAUUAAUUUGGUUGUAUCCGAUGAAGGAGAAGAGGUCUUACCUAUGAGUGAUGAUGAUAUUAUUUAAUUAAUUAUUUUAUGUUUUGCAACUUUUUUUGGAACUUUGAUGAUUUUUGAUAAUAAAAUUCAGUUAUUUAGUUA
Salvia splendens (bonfire salvia) is the source of this 1244-nucleotide RNA transcript. RefSeq lists it as uncharacterized. The transcript is spliced from 8 exons. NCBI's taxonomy places the organism in Eukaryota, Viridiplantae, Streptophyta, Magnoliopsida, Lamiales, Lamiaceae. The record is from RefSeq and is a predicted model, not a curated record.